UAGAAUUAAUCAUUAACUUUUAUAGCGCUAAUAAUCAAUUUCUCUGUCCAUUUAAUUAAUAUGUUUAUCUACUUCAAAUUUCUAAUACACGAUUGUUUACGUGGCCGAUAUAAACAGAGUGACCUCUUUCAUAAAAAUUAUAUAAUCGAAUUGUACAAAUACAAUUGACCCUAACCAUAUUUGGAAAUUUCUAAUUUUGUCAUGAUUGCUAUAUAAGUCAAAAUUCUGCUUUGAGACGUCAGAGUUUGAAUUUUGAAUCUUAUAGGUGUCAGUCGAUCCCGGCCUGCCUCUACAUCGGCAACAACGCCCAAACUGCCUUUACAGCGGCAGCAAUGCCAUGUACCAUCCAAGGCAUUGUUCCCAGCUAGUUCCCAACCAAGAUGUCCAUGACUAGUUUUCCCCACAACAUGUAAAGGUCCCAACAUCAACUCUCACAGAUGUAGUGUAUCUGUCGAGAGUCCGAAAGGAAGCAGACCAUGUUUCAGUACCAGAAUAUUCAACUUUUCUCAUUACAAUAAUUGGUGGACGACCCUUAAAGCUGACAUCUAUACAGACAUCUAUAAAAGUCAAAGUUUAUCAUCACAUCCAGACCAAAUAACAUGCUAGAAGGACAAUUCGAACAUUAACUAUUUGCAGUUGGACAUAAUUUUCGUAACUUUCAAACUUUUGGAUUCCAUAGUAUAUACAGAAUAUUUCAUUUGUGACAUUUAGAAAAUCAACAAAAAGGAUACAGUAUGCAGAACUAUGUUAGAACAUUUAUUAACAUCAGUGACAAUAACAAUUGUAAAGUUAUAUUAUUGUGUAUUGUUUAAAAUAUGUAUUUUCAUGAAACUGUAAGUAAUUCCAAAAUGAUAAAUAAGAAAUUUAAUUUUGAUUUUAAGAUUUCCAGCGAUGAAACUAAAUCUUCAUUUUUAUUUUCAUAAACUACAUUGUGUUUCAUCUGUAAAUUUUUAAUUGAAAUGACUAAAACAUUGAUAAUUAAGUUAACAAAUUUGCUCGAUAAAAUGUUGUAAAUUAUGUAUUCAUUUAAAUUUUCAUUUCAUUGAAUAACUUUUCAGAAUAUUAUUUGCAUAUAGUUUUUUACUAAGAUUAGAUUGAAUUUUAUUUAAAGGACACAUAAAGUGAAUCCCCUUGUAAAAUUAAUCUACAUGGAACAUGGUAGGAAGUCCUGUUGCCAUUUGCUGUAAAGAAAAUCGUACAAUAUAGUAAUAAAAAUAGUGUAGAUAUUAACUUAAUAUUGAGAUUGGGCUACCUCAAAGUAGGGGCGCCACAUAUAUAUAAGCAUAAAAAUGGGCUACCUGAAAGAAGGAGCGCCACAAAUAAAAUGGGUUACCUCGCAGGUAGGAACGCCAUGCAUACGAUUAACAGUAACUUAGAGACUAAAAAGAUGCUUAAUCAAAUUCUGUUAAAAGUUUAUUCUGCAUAAUCAUAAUUCAUUUUGAAUUACAACAUUUUGUUGAAACUUUUAGGCGUAUAUAAUUAUUGUACCAUAAAUUUCAUAAUUUUUAAAUAAAUGUCCAAUUGUAAAUUGAGCAAAUAGAAGAAUAAUAGUAAUAAAUAAAUAAUAAUAAUAACAUUUAAAACUAUUGUGGAAAGUUCACAUCAUAAAUAAAACAAACAAUAAAAAAUGUGAUUAAAAAAAAUAAACUCUCAAAAAAAUGAAAAAAAUAAAAAAAAUAGAAAAAUGUUAAAACAAAGUUCAUUCCUUAUUCUUGCUUUAUAUUUAACUUAAUUGUCUACUUUGUUAUUUUGAAGUUUCAUAUGGAUAUUAAUUAUUUACUGAAAUUAAUAAUUAAAAGUUAUAAAUCCAAUAAUCAAUUUAGUAAAUUAUGAUAUUUUAAGUUGCUCUAAAUCUUAUGAAAUAUUAAUUUUUUUUUCUAAUUAAUUUAAAUCUUGGGACAAGAUUUUCUAAAGGAGAAAGAUCUAUUGUGACAGUAUUUUGACACUAAUUUAGGACACAUAUGUUGUUAGAAUUAAUCAUUAACUUUUAUAGCGCUAAUAAUCAAUUUCUCUGUCCAUUUAAUUAAUAUGUUUAUCUACUUCAAAUUUCUAAUACACGAUUGUUUACGUGGCCGAUAUAAACAGAGUGACCUCUUUCAUAAAAAUUAUAUAAUCGAAUUGUACAAAUACAAUUGACCCUAACCAUAUUUGGAACCAAUACACGAUUGUUUACGUGGCCGAUAUAAACAGAGUUACCUCUUUCAUAAAAAUUAUAUAAUUGAAUUGUACAAAUACAAUUGACCCUAACCAUAUUUGGAAAUUUCUAAUUUUGUCAUGAUUGCUAUAUAAGUCAAAAUUCUGCUUUGAGACGUCAGAGUUUGAAUUUUGAAUCUUAUAGGUAAGUCAUGAGUUUUGAAUUGUUAAUUAAAAGUUAUUAAGAUUUAAAGUAAAAUAUUUUAAAACAAGUUAAAUUGAAAUAGAGAUAAUUAAUAGUUUUCAUAAAUAAAGUUUUAAUAAAAUAUCCAUUGUUUUCUUUUAAAGAAAUAAUUGCCAAUAUUUGUUUUACUUUUUUGUGAUUGUAACUGUUUUGUAUUAUUUUUGUUUUUAUUUAUUUUAUUAAAAGAGUUUGAAUUUUGAA
Mytilus trossulus (common blue mussel) is the source of this 2578-nucleotide long non-coding RNA. RefSeq lists it as uncharacterized. NCBI's taxonomy places the organism in Eukaryota, Metazoa, Mollusca, Bivalvia, Mytilida, Mytilidae. The transcript is spliced from 2 exons. The record is from RefSeq and is a predicted model, not a curated record.